GACGAACGCUGGCGGCGUGCUUAACACAUGCAAGUCGUACGGUAAGGCCCUUUCGGGGGUACACGAGUGGCGAACGGGUGAGUAACACGUGAGUAACCUGCCCACAACUUUGGGAUAACGCUAGGAAACUGGUGCUAAUACUGGAUAUGUGCCCCUGCUGCAUGGUGGGGGUUGGAAAGCUCCGGCGGUUGUGGAUGGACUCGCGGCCCAUCAGCUUGUUGGUGGGGUAGUGGCCUACCAAGGCGGCGACGGGUAGCCGGCCGGUGAGGGUGACCGGCCACCUUGGGACUGUGAUACGGCCCAGUCUCCUACGGGGGGCAGCAGUGGGGAAUAUUGCCCUAUGGGCGCAAGUCUGAUGCAUCAACGCCGCGUGCGGGAUGACGGCCUUCGGGUUGUAAGCCGCGUUCAGCAGGGACGAAGCUUUUUGUGACGUUACCUGCAGAAGAAGCACCGGCUAACUACGUG
RNAcentral lists this ribosomal RNA (465 nucleotides) under uncultured bacterium. RNAcentral describes it as "partial 16S ribosomal RNA". It matches the Rfam family "Bacterial small subunit ribosomal RNA", at positions 28 to 507 of the family's 1533-position model. The record is from RNAcentral.